RNAcentral lists this transfer RNA (83 nucleotides) under Desulfobacca sp. RBG_16_60_12. RNAcentral's name for it is "tRNA-Leu". It matches the Rfam family "tRNA". Rfam says of the family: Transfer RNA (tRNA) molecules are approximately 80 nucleotides in length. Their secondary structure includes four short double-helical elements and three loops (D, anti-codon, and T loops). Further hydrogen bonds mediate the characteristic L-shaped molecular structure. tRNAs have two regions of fundamental functional importance: the anti-codon, which is responsible for specific mRNA codon recognition, and the 3' end, to which the tRNAs corresponding amino acid is attached (by aminoacyl-tRNA synthetases). tRNAs cope with the degeneracy of the genetic code in two manners: having more than one tRNA (with a specific anti-codon) for a particular amino acid; and 'wobble' base-pairing, i.e. permitting non-standard base-pairing at the 3rd anti-codon position. The record is from RNAcentral. Lineage: Bacteria; Pseudomonadati; Thermodesulfobacteriota; Desulfobaccia; Desulfobaccales; Desulfobaccaceae.
GCCGCAGUGCGUGGAACGGGUAGACAGCGUCGGUCCAAACCCGACGGCCUUCGGGCGUGGGGGUUCGAGUCCCUCCUGCGGCA